This 547-nucleotide ribosomal RNA is filed under the name uncultured bacterium. RNAcentral's name for it is "bacterial SSU rRNA". It matches the Rfam family "Bacterial small subunit ribosomal RNA", at positions 355 to 896 of the family's 1533-position model. The record is from RNAcentral.
UGGGGAAUAUUGCGCAAUGGGGGGAACCCUGACGCAGCCAUGCCGCGUGAAUGAAGAAGGCCUUAGGGUUGUAAAGUUCUUUCGGUAUUGAGGAAGGUUGAUGUGUUAAUAGCACAUCAAAUUGACGUUAAAUACAGAAGAAGCACCGGCUAACUCCGUGCCAGCAGCCGCGGUAAUACGGAGGGUGCGAGCGUUAAUCGGAAUAACUGGGCGUAAAGGGCACGCAGGCGGUUAUUUAAGUGAGGUGUGAAAGCCCCGGGCUUAACCUGGGAAUUGCAUUUCAGACUGGGUAACUAGAGUACUUUAGGGAGGGGUAGAAUUCCACGUGUAGCGGUGAAAUGCGUAGAGAUGUGGAGGAAUAUCGAAGGCGAAGGCAGCCCCUUGGGAAUGUACUGACGCUCAUGUGCGAAAGCGUGGGGAGCAAACAGGAUUAGAUACCCUGGUAGUCCACGCUGUAAACGCUGUCGAUUUGGGGGUUGGGGUUUAACUCUGGCGCCCGUAGCUAACGUGAUAAAUCGACCGCCUGGGGAGUACGGCCGCAAGGUUA